GACACCAAAUAAAUUCAAGACUCUCCACUUGGACAUUUUAAAUUUAAUUACAUUGUAACUUAGUAGUCUAGAUGUUUUUAAUUAAACUUGUGCAUUGGGCCACUAUUGACAAAUUUAUGAUGGGCCCAUAUUGAAGGGAGACACUUGGCACCUANGGUUUUUCAAUUAGGUGNACCCCACCCUAACAUUUAGUGACUCACGGCCAUAUAGGUGUUACCANCCGUCAUUCAUUUUGGGAGACACACACUCUCGGCAGAAAAGAUUUUUGGGGCACUCUCUNGGCUGCAAGCUGCUGGAAAACAAUGUUUUUGGUCUUAGGAAUUGGUUGAAUGAAAGCAUAAUUGUUUACCUAUUNAGUAGCUGCAGCGUUUGGAAAAAAGGAAGUGCUGGAACGUUAGCAGCCGCCACCCUCAUACUGGAGUUUUUGUUGAAAGUUUUUAUGGAACGCAAAGCAAAGAACACUUCUCCUUUUCAUUUUCCUNGAAGCGCUGAUUCACACAUUACAUUUUAAUUUCCUUUUCUUCAAGAGAGACACGUGUUUUAUUUCAAUUGAGGGAGUGAUUCAUUUUCUUAUCUUUGCUUGGAUAAAGAAAACNUUGAUUCACUUUCCUGGUAAGAUGAGCUAGGUUUAUUCUUCUUUUGCAUUCAGUGAAUGGGGCUGCUGUCACACGUUCAUUUUUCUUUGGGAAACGUUGUUUCAAUUGGAGAAAUGAGAAGGAGCUCAUGGGUUGCAUCAUGCCACCUCUAACAUUUUUUUUAGCACGGUGAUUUUUGAUUUGGUGAGAUUAUGGGUGAUUGAAUUUGGGAGGUGUAGCCGCAGCCUUCGUUGGAUGUUUCUUUCUUUUAAAAAGCAAAAGUUGAUUAAGAUUGAAAGGCGC
Molecule: long non-coding RNA, 878 nt
Filed under: Vigna radiata
Lineage: Eukaryota; Viridiplantae; Streptophyta; Magnoliopsida; Fabales; Fabaceae
Description: long non-coding RNA (VRAD_LNC017180)
Source: RNAcentral